This 527-nucleotide ribosomal RNA is filed under the name uncultured bacterium. RNAcentral describes it as "partial 16S ribosomal RNA". It matches the Rfam family "Bacterial small subunit ribosomal RNA", at positions 355 to 874 of the family's 1533-position model. The record is from RNAcentral.
UGGGGAAUUUUGGACAAUGGGGGAAACCCCUGAUCCAGCCAUCCCGCGUGUGCGAUGAAGGCCUUCGGGUUGUAAAGCACUUUUGGCAGGAAAGAAACGUCGCGGGUUAAUACCCCGCNAAACUGACGGUACCUGCAGAAUAAGCACCGGCUAACUACGUGCCAGCAGCCGCGGUAAUACGUAGGGUGCAAGCGUUAAUCGGAAUUACUGGGCGUAAAGCGUGCGCAGGCGGUUCGGAAAGAAAGAUGUGAAAUCCCAGAGCUUAACUUUGGAACUGCAUUUUUAACUACCGGGCUAGAGUGUGUCAGAGGAGGUGGAAUUCCGCGUGUAGCAGUGAAAUGCGUAGAUAUGCGGAGGAACACCGAUGGCGAAGGNAGCCUCCUGGGAUAACACUGACGCUCAUGCACGAAAGCGUGGGGAGCAAACAGGAUUAGAUACCCCUGGUAGUCCACGCCCUAAACGAUGUCAACUAGCUGUUGGGGCCUUCGGGCCUUGGUAGCGCAGCUAACGCGUGAAGUUGACCGCCU